UUCUGAUGGCUCAGAGGGUAAAGCGUCUGCCUGCAAUGCAGGAGACCUGGGUUCAAUCCCUGGGUCAGGAA
Ovis aries (sheep) is the source of this 71-nucleotide transfer RNA. It matches the Rfam family "tRNA". Rfam says of the family: Transfer RNA (tRNA) molecules are approximately 80 nucleotides in length. Their secondary structure includes four short double-helical elements and three loops (D, anti-codon, and T loops). Further hydrogen bonds mediate the characteristic L-shaped molecular structure. tRNAs have two regions of fundamental functional importance: the anti-codon, which is responsible for specific mRNA codon recognition, and the 3' end, to which the tRNAs corresponding amino acid is attached (by aminoacyl-tRNA synthetases). tRNAs cope with the degeneracy of the genetic code in two manners: having more than one tRNA (with a specific anti-codon) for a particular amino acid; and 'wobble' base-pairing, i.e. permitting non-standard base-pairing at the 3rd anti-codon position. The record is from Rfam. NCBI's taxonomy places the organism in Eukaryota, Metazoa, Chordata, Mammalia, Artiodactyla, Bovidae.